This 46-nucleotide non-coding RNA is filed under the name Schistosoma haematobium. The record is from RNAcentral. Lineage: Eukaryota; Metazoa; Platyhelminthes; Trematoda; Strigeidida; Schistosomatidae.
GCAUUGAUGAGGAGUCUUACAAUAGGACGAAACCAUCGUCUAAUAC